CUCAUCGUUCGUAGAGGUGAUGCUUGUCCUCGAACAUUUGCACCGCUUUUUAGGAGUUCAAGUUCAGCCUCCUUCUUCUCCAGUACUUGCUUAAGGUUCGAGAUCUAAAUCAACCAGAAAAACACAAAGACGAUCAAUUACAGAUUUUGCUGCACCAAGAUCGAUGGAGGCAACCCUCUCAGCAAAUUUGAGUGUGCUAACUGUUUCUCCAAAUGCAUCUGCCUCUGGAUUUAUGUGCACGAACAUCAACGUCUUUGCCUGACCGCCUGUGAAGGAGUACACAGAAGGUACCUGUGAGACCUGCUGCUACGCUCAUUUAAAGCAGUAGCACCGACAGCACGGUUCUUUUGCCCAAUUCUCAUCAAAUCAAGAACAUCUUGAGUGCAUGUAACUGGAAUCAGACUAGCGUCAGGUUACAACGUAAUAAGGACUUCCUGUUUUCAGAUAAACUACACAGUCUUACCUACCAUUGAAUUCAUAGGUAAGUCCUCAACUCCAUUGCUCUCCAUAAGAUAAGCCUGUAGAAGCCCGAGACCAAAGCGAUCAAAGAGGAAGGUCAGUAUAUUGGCAGCAUUUGAUUCUUCAAGCGAGACCUCGCCAGAUAAAUGGAGAAAUUCCAACAGCUGGUCGAAUUGUGAUGACUCGGAGUCAUCCACUGACUCAUCUGCAUCACUACCACCAAAUGAGGACGGUGAUCCUUUGGGACAAGAUGUGAUCCUGACAGUUCCACCAUACUUCCAAACUCCAAUUCCUCCAGCUUGUUUCCAUUCAUAAUAUCCUUUAAGGCACAAAAUGCAGUCUACAACUUUGUUUGAUGAACCACCCUACAAGUUCAAAACCUUUGCUCAAUACGAUGUACCUUGGAAAAACAAUGCGAAACAUAAUUGCAUAUAGUCCGAGCCAAUGUGAACAAACUGAUGAAUCUAACCUUUUCAAGAUCAGAUGCUUCGAAUGUUAAAAGCUGCAUUUUGCCAACAGCUACAAGGAAAUUCCUCAUGUUCUCGAAGUAUUGAAUAGCAGACUGGGCUGCACAUUCCGAGGACAUAUCGACCACUGAAUUGACCACCACCUAUAUCUCAGAGAAUGAGGCCAUUGCGAAGAGCACAACGGAAUUCUUCUUCGCUCGGUUCUUUUGGGAGUACCUCCGAUGCACCAGAGUCUAUCUGUAUCAGCCAUUCCGCCGCCUGGUACCUCCUUGCAGCUGCAAGUUAGUUCCUAGUUUUAGUCGGUAAAUUUAGAAGCAAAAUUAACAAUGUCAUGUGCCUCAUGCAUGGUGUAUCUACUAACGUAUGUUCCUAUGUUCCUAUGUUGCCUGGUCGUCCUUCAAGGGCUACCGCUAUACACGGUGUCCGGGGAAGGGCCCCACCACACAAGGGUGUAUUGUACGUAGCCUUACCUUGCAUUUCUGUCAAAGGUUGUUUCCAAGGCCUUGAACCCAUGACCUAGUCACAUGGCAGCAACUUUACUAGUUGCCUGUUCGUCCUUCCUCAAGAAUAUUUAGUGUAUUAUUUGUGAUCCGGUUACCGACUUACCGUAUUUUUUGUAUCUCUA
Molecule: long non-coding RNA, 1551 nt
Organism: Capsicum annuum
Lineage: Eukaryota; Viridiplantae; Streptophyta; Magnoliopsida; Solanales; Solanaceae
Exons: 5
Source: RefSeq, a predicted model, not a curated record